GGAGAUGUGGCUCAGUGGCAGAGCACCUGUGUUUCAUGCAGACGGUCCCAGGUUCUAGCCCCGGCCUCUCCA
RNAcentral lists this transfer RNA (72 nucleotides) under Sphaerodactylus townsendi. RNAcentral's name for it is "tRNA-Glu". It matches the Rfam family "tRNA". Rfam says of the family: Transfer RNA (tRNA) molecules are approximately 80 nucleotides in length. The record is from RNAcentral. Lineage: Eukaryota; Metazoa; Chordata; Lepidosauria; Squamata; Sphaerodactylidae.